Molecule: transfer RNA, 82 nt
Filed under: Fasciola gigantica
Lineage: Eukaryota; Metazoa; Platyhelminthes; Trematoda; Plagiorchiida; Fasciolidae
Rfam family: tRNA
About the family: Transfer RNA (tRNA) molecules are approximately 80 nucleotides in length.
Source: Rfam by way of RNAcentral
GACGGGGUGACCGAGUGGUCAAGUCGAUGGACUGAUAAUCCGUCGGGCUUUUCCCGUGUGGGUCCGAAUCCCAUACCCGUCG